UACGGGGGGGGCAAGCGUUGUUCGGAAUUACUGGGCGUAAAGGGCUCGUAGGCGGCCAACUAAGUCGGAUGUGAAAUCCCCAGGCUCAACUUGGGAACUGCAUCCGAUACUGGAUGGCUUGAAUUCGGGAGAGGGAUGCAGAAUUCCAGGUGUAGCGGUGAAAUGCGUAGAUAUCUGGAGGAAUACCGGUGGCGAAGGCGGCAUCCUGGACCAUAACUGACGCUGAGGCGCGAAAGCUAGGGGAGCAAACGGG
Molecule: ribosomal RNA, 253 nt
Filed under: uncultured bacterium
Lineage: Bacteria
Description: partial 16S ribosomal RNA
Rfam family: Bacterial small subunit ribosomal RNA
Source: RNAcentral